Molecule: long non-coding RNA, 1217 nt
Organism: Brassica oleracea var. oleracea
Lineage: Eukaryota; Viridiplantae; Streptophyta; Magnoliopsida; Brassicales; Brassicaceae
Exons: 4
Source: RefSeq, a predicted model, not a curated record
CCGACUUCCCUUUCUUUUUCUCUAGAGAUGAUUUUUUAUUUUAUUUUUUUUCUUAUUUCAAUCAAUCUAUCUUCUUCCUUCGUCUUCUUCAAUUAUAAACAUCAGAACAUUCUUUGUUGGAAAAGAUGAGUAAAUCGGGUUCUUCUCGAUCGAUUCAACUCCAAUCGAGUUCAAAAUCAAAACUUAAGAAUCCUAAUCCGUCCUUUGUAACUUUGCGCACACUUGGCUUGAAGAGAUAAGGUUGAAGAGGAUGGUGGUUACUGAAGAAUGCUUAGAACACUUCCCUCCACUCUCCACCGGUAUCCGCCUUACCGGAAAAUCGAACCCGCUGCUCCGAAGCAUCUCCACCGUCGGGUUGAUAUUGUCAUGGCUGCGACUGUGGAUUCGGAUUACUCGUCGAGAAGGAGCAGUAGCAACGAGCAGAGGGAAUCAAUUAUGCUUCCUGGAUGCGACUCAACACCCUUGCUUACUCUUACCUCAACACUCUUGCUACUGUUCUGCAAGGUUUUUUUUUACACAGAACAUUAUUACAGAAAACACAGAACAGAGCAUGGAGAAGUAAUGAAGAACUUGAGGAUCUUGUUAAUGACUCGAGGAGUCAUAGCAAGAGUAAAAGGGUGACCUUGAAGCAGAACCACAAGUUCCUUAUAAAGGUUAAGGAGCACCAAGAAGGCAAAGGAUGCUAAGAAGCUUGGGCUUAACCGUAACCAUGUGUAAUCUCUGUCUCAGAUUGAGAUUGUAGUCAGCUUGACCCUUGUCUCAAGCGUAAACCUUUCUCUGGAUUCAUAGAUUGUUGAACCAUGGAGAUAAUUGUUGAACCAUGGAGAUGAUCGGUGAUGGAUAUAAGGAGUUCUUUCUUGAUGCCCCAGACUCGGUGAAGGUAUAUCCAUUGAUAACGAGAUGAUUUGUCUUAUGUUCAGGGAUGCUGGUGUCUCAGCCAUUGCCUCCCACCUUACCCGUUCCAUGGCAGUUACUACUUCGUUUGGUGGGGUCUUCAAGAUUUGGUUUUGCAACAGUGAGAAGAACCAGACUGUUAAAGACUCUAGCUGGAUGUUUCAUGCAGUUGGUUCUUAUAAGUAAUAGCUUUCAUAAGCAUCAGGAAUCUUAAACAUUCACAACUGAUUCACGGAUGAGAGUAAUGUAUUACACGUUGGGGGAGGUUUAUGUAUAUUUUGGUGCACUCUACAGCACUUUGAGAUGGUUUAGUUUAUUAAUUA